UACGUAGGGGGCAAGCGUUGUCCGGAUUUAUUGGGCGUAAAGAGCGUGUAGGCGGCCAGAUAGGUCGGUUGUGAAAACUGGAGGCUCAACCUCCAGACGUCGGCCGAAACCAUCUGGCUAGAGUCCGGAAGAGGAGAGUGGAAUUCCUGGUGUAGCGGUGAAAUGCGCAGAUAUCAGGAAGAACACCCGUGGCGAAGGCGGCUCUCUGGGACGGUACUGACGCUGAGACGCGAAAGCGUGGGGAGCGAACAGG
This 253-nucleotide ribosomal RNA is filed under the name uncultured bacterium. Its description in RNAcentral is "partial 16S ribosomal RNA". It matches the Rfam family "Bacterial small subunit ribosomal RNA", at positions 524 to 776 of the family's 1533-position model. The record is from RNAcentral.